RNAcentral lists this non-coding RNA (89 nucleotides) under uncultured Chlorophyceae. The record is from RNAcentral. Lineage: Eukaryota; Viridiplantae; Chlorophyta; Chlorophyceae.
AGAGAGAGAGAGAGAGAGAGAGAGCGAGAAGAAAGAAAAGGAAAACAGAGUCGUCAAUUUUUCUGAAUUUUUUUUUUCCUUUGCUUCUU